RNAcentral lists this ribosomal RNA (1056 nucleotides) under Campylobacter jejuni. Its description in RNAcentral is "bacterial SSU rRNA". It matches the Rfam family "Bacterial small subunit ribosomal RNA", at positions 467 to 1533 of the family's 1533-position model. Lineage: Bacteria; Pseudomonadati; Campylobacterota; Epsilonproteobacteria; Campylobacterales; Campylobacteraceae. The record is from RNAcentral.
UUUUGUAUGUACCUUAUGAAUAAGGAUCGGCUAACUCCGUGCCAGCAGCCGCGGUAAUACGGAGGAUCCGAGCGUUAUCCGGAUUUAUUGGGUUUAAAGGGUGCGUAGGCGGCCUUUUAAGUCAGCGGUGAAAGUCUGUGGCUCAACCAUAGAAUUGCCGUUGAAACUGGGGGGCUUGAGUAUGUUUGAGGCAGGCGGAAUGCGUGGUGUAGCGGUGAAAUGCAUAGAUAUCACGCAGAACCCCGAUUGCGAAGGCAGCCUGCCAAGCCAUUACUGACGCUGAUGCACGAAAGCGUGGGGAUCAAACAGGAUUAGAUACCCUGGUAGUCCACGCAGUAAACGAUGAUCACUAGCUGUUUGCGAUACAGUGUAAGCGGCACAGCGAAAGCGUUAAGUGAUCCACCUGGGGAGUACGCCGGCAACGGUGAAACUCAAAGGAAUUGACGGGGGCCCGCACAAGCGGAGGAACAUGUGGUUUAAUUCGAUGAUACGCGAGGAACCUUACCCGGGUUUGAACGCAUUCGGACCGAGGUGGAAACACCUUUUCUAGCAAUAGCCGUUUGCGAGGUGCUGCAUGGUUGUCGUCAGCUCGUGCCGUGAGGUGUCGGCUUAAGUGCCAUAACGAGCGCAACCCUUGCCACUAGUUACUAACAGGUGAUGCUGAGGACUCUGGUGGGACUGCCAGCGUAAGCUGCGAGGAAGGCGGGGAUGACGUCAAAUCAGCACGGCCCUUACAUCCGGGGCGACACACGUGUUACAAUGGCGUGGACAAAGGGAGGCCACCUGGCGACAGGGAGCGAAUCCCCAAACCACGUCUCAGUUCGGAUCGGAGUCUGCAACCCGACUCCGUGAAGCUGGAUUCGCUAGUAAUCGCGCAUCAGCCAUGGCGCGGUGAAUACGUUCCCGGGCCUUGUACACACCGCCCGUCAAGCCAUGGGAGCCGGGGGUACCUGAAGUCCGUAACCGAAAGGAUCGGCCUAGGGUAAAACUGGUGACUGGGGCUAAGUCGUAACAAGGUAGCCGUACCGGAAGGUGCGGCUGGAACACCUCCUUUCU